This is a long non-coding RNA of Tachysurus fulvidraco (yellow catfish), 1680 nucleotides long. RefSeq lists it as uncharacterized. The transcript is spliced from 5 exons. The record is from RefSeq and is a predicted model, not a curated record. Lineage: Eukaryota; Metazoa; Chordata; Actinopteri; Siluriformes; Bagridae.
CAAGAAUCUCAGGAGAUUCAGAUGAUGCAACUUCCUGUUGUGGAAUAUUCCAUGUAUUUCACAGGGGGUUAUUGAUGUGACUAAACAGGGCUGAGAAACUGCUACAUAAUGCUUAAAGGUAUAAAGAUCCAACAGAGUGGUACAAAGGAACAAUUCCACAGACCGAUCCUGUGGGGCUCGUGGUCCGACCUUUCUUCAGUUCCCUGCUUGGAUAAAGUCAUUAGUGAAGUUUCACAGAGGCACGCGACCGAUAGGAUAUGAUAGGACGUUUUGAGGUGGGAUAGCGAUACAGAUGUUCAGGCAGUGUUAAGGCAGCACACAUCAGGACCUCUCCACAACGCACAUCUGGAAAAGAGUCUGUGGUUUCUCUUCUCUCCGUGAGGUACCGGUGUCAGACCCAGAGUGUCUGUGUGGAUGUCAGGCAGUCUUCGCUCGGGCCGCAGGCAAACAGCCAGACGCUGAAAACACAAACAACAAACGAGGAGGAAGAGGUCAGAGGUCACUGUUGUAAAAAAAAAAAAGUGACAACGGUGACAAAUGUCCAAGGCUUCAAAUAAUCUCUGCACACCUGAGGCAGAGAAGGAGACAGCCGUCGUUUAUCACACGCUCAAGGACAAAUAAAGGAAUAAGGAGGACUAUGUGCAGGGGUGAAUGUCAGCUCUCGCAUGUGUGAUUGCGUUAGCAAAGCUGAAUGGGAUUGACAUUUGGGAUGCAGAAGUUUCAGAAGUGAGCCGGCGAUCAAAAAUGGGAUUAUAGUGUCUUUAAAGGCUGCAGGGAAGGAAGGAGCUUCUACAUUUCUAAAUGUGAAAAUACUAAGCUGGAAACAUGUGACCUUCUUUAGCUGUUAGACUUAAUGUCCUCAUUAUUUAUUAUAAUAUGCACAUCAUUAAACUCAGUAAAAUAUGAGAGAUGAAAAAACACAAUGAAAUGGGUGGUUUUAUUCACCGCUAGAAAAGUCGGGCUGAUGGCCACCCAACAAAACCUCCAGAAGAAUCCGGGUGUGUAUCCCAGCAUGGAUUUGACAUCGUUGCUGAAUCUGUUGAUGCCUGAGAGAAAACAAGAAUGAUAGAAUUUAUUAACUGUGUCACUUUUGUUACAGAUACAAUAAUUAUACUGUAAUUAUAUGCUAUAGUUAACUAAAAAAACACAGUAACGUUGCUGCACUUGUGUUUGAAACUUUAUCUCACACUGUAUUGUGUUUUCAAAGCGAGAUUUUUUUACCAUAAAACCAGGAGACGGCGGUGGCUUCCAGAAACACGAUGGAUAUUAUAGAGAAUCCCACUCCAAACUCUUCAAGAAGUUUUACUACAUAUGCACCACCCUACAAAAAACAACAAAAAAACAACAGAGUUGAAGUCAGUUCAAGUUCUGAAGCUCUUCAGGUGUGUGGAGAAACUUCCUCAUGAUGAUAAAUGCAGGCUGUUCAUCUUGUCUUGACAUUUUGAAACUGUCCUGGAUUGGCCCGAAUAAAGAAAAUGCCCUUAGGUUCAGUCAAUCUGGCAGCAGUGUAGAGUCUGUGCUGUGUAGAGAUGUGACUGAGAGGUUAGGGUUAGCAGGUAAAUCAGUAUGUUUUGUGAAUGCACAGAGCCCACUUUUCAAGUCUGAAUCAGAGUGAAAUUGAUUCCGUUGAUUCAUUUCAUUUUGCACUGUCUAUAAUUAAACCCAGCCACAUAACACAAA